RNAcentral lists this long non-coding RNA (10002 nucleotides) under Olea europaea (common olive). Its description in RNAcentral is "long non-coding RNA (OEUR_LNC002807)". Lineage: Eukaryota; Viridiplantae; Streptophyta; Magnoliopsida; Lamiales; Oleaceae. The record is from RNAcentral.
UUUUUUUUUUUCAAUUGACAACGUUUCUUUGUGGUUGAAAUUUACUUUUUCAAGCGUUUGUUACAUACGUCAUCCAAACAAUGCUGUUAUUUUAUGCAGGUAGAUCUUGAACUUCAAUUUCUGAUGCUUCUUUCUUCUUAGCCUUCUCUAUUUCAAGUAAGUAAAUUCUCUCCGCUUCAGGAAUUGCAGACACAAUAGUCCCUAACUUGAAAUUCAGUUCUUCAAUCUUUUCCAUAAGUCUGUCAUUUGUGAACAUGCCAAUGAGGAUAUUUUGGAUUGUACCCCAACUUUCAAUUAAAGGUAAAGCUAUAAUUACUGCUGAACCCACUGUACCCCAUGCAAUUGCUAUUACUGCCCAGAAUGUGAAGUAUCCCAAAUUAAAUUGUCCUGCAUUGUUAUCACAGAAGCAAAAACUAUAACAAAAUCAUAAAUUCUUUAAACUUGAAAGCAGAUUGUGGGAUAGAUCAUAUGUUGAGUUACCUGCCGGAAGAGUCAAAAGAGGCCACAAUAUAACAAUAACAAUAGUAAAACCAACACCCCAUUUGACAAUCCAUGCCUUUGCUCUAAUCAGCUUUUCUUCUCUGAACUCGUCAGCUGGUAAUUCGAUAUUUUCCUUCUCUACCACGGUUAUCUGUUUAGUUGUUUCCCAGUCGUAAUUUUGAGGCGACAAAAAGCUGCAUACUGCAUGAACAGCUCCUCCGGUGAGUAUAGAAACUAGGUUUCCAGCAAGCAUUGGUGCAUUUCUUCCAGUUGUAUCAAGAUUUACCCUCCCAUACUCAACUUUUGUAACAGUCAACCAUGUGAUGAUUCCAAGAAAACAACCGCUUCACUCCAGUGAGUGCAUUCACCACAGCAGAUCCACCAAGAAGAAGCAUAGCCGUUACAAUAAUAUUUGUCAUGAAGCAGACAGUAAGAAAGACGAUAUGAGCUGCAGUUCCCCAUCUGAUGAAAAAGAGAUGCUAUAAAUUUUAAUUUAAGAGGAAACACAAGAAUAAUAGAAUUUUCCUUAGAUUCUAACACACCUUGCUUUCACAAUUUCACAAACAGUAUGAGCAUGAGGAGCCUUUCUUUUCAUCUCGAUCGCCAUUACACCAAACAAGAGUAACUGCUCAUCAAAAUUUUGUAAAACUGAUCACUAUUAUUUAAGAUUAGAUGGGCAAAUUUUGAUAGGAAAACUAAUCUUAGACAUGCCUGGAUUGUAGCCCCACUUGCAUACCAGAAAGGACCACUGAUUCCAUAUUCCCAUGCAACAUUUGAACUUUGUAAAAUUGUGGCAGCCCAGGUCCACUGCAAAACUCAAAUGAUUGAAACUGUAAGUAAAAUAAAAUUUUAAACAUUUUCAGUCUAGGUUGAAAGCAAUAUGAAAAUAGUACCUGAGACACAAUCACACUAGCAAUGAGUCCCGUUUUAACAUUUCUGCCUGCUGUAUUAAACCAUUCUGAAGUGUGGAGGGAACCAACGUAUCUCUUUUCCAGCCAUACCUAGACAUGUUUAGAGCAUAAACUGUGAAUUACUGGAGAUUCCAUCGGCAAUAAAUGGUAAAAUUUAGGAGUUCAGGCUCUAGAGGUUAGUUCCAUGCCAAGUAGAUCAGGUUCAAAAUCCAGUCCAUGUCCUCAAAAGUAGUGUGGGAGAAUGGGAAAAGACAUUUUGCUGACGACAUACUCGACUCCAUUCAAUGAACCCCGAUAUAAAAGCUUAAACAGAGGAUCAAAUUUGUCUUUAACACAUCCCUUUAUGAGCAAGUCCUCGAGUUUCACCACAAUUUUAUAAAAAGGCUAGUAUUGUUCAACCACUUAAAUUGGUAGAAAUUGGAAAAAUCUUUUUUGUAAACUUCGUGGUUCUAUAAGAGACAAUUUUACUCAAUAAACAAGGGAUUCCACUUCUCCUGAGUAUCUUCUCAGUAGAAUAUUACAUUUGAAACUCUAUGAUUAAUUAGUUCAGUCAUGCAAUAAGUUAAUUUAACUAGACCCCAAAUUUUAAAACUUUAGUUUAGAUAUGGAUAGGGUAAAAAUACCAGGAAAGAGGUAAAAACUGCAAAGAAUGCUCCAAAUCCAAGAAUCACAGAAUACCCAACUCCUUGAUUGAGCACUGGUUGCCCUCCAAAGAAACUGCUUUGCCUCACACAAUUGCUUCCACCUGCAGUUGCGUCAUAAUAUUUUGCUGAAAAUUCGAAUGGUGGGCAGUGUGUGAGAGAAGAAGCCAUGGAUAUUUGCUACAGUUUCUUUGCCCAGCCCAACUGUUUAUAUUAGUGUAACAUCUAGUGAAGGAAUAAUACACUACUAUGAAUGGGAAUUGAAAAUAUGCAGACGUUUCAAAAUGAUUGAUUGAUACUGUAGGUAUCUCUUGGAUGGCAGUGAAUGUUUUAUCAGUCACUCUCAUUUUGAAUUUUCUAUUCAGCAGGCAAAACAUUUUUGAUUGAAUAAAUUCUACCCAGUUUUAAUGAUCCAAUUUGAACUAAUAAAACAGAAUUUUUACUUUAUUACUAUUAUUUAGAUAACAUUUUUAGGGCAUUGGCUGGAACUAAAACAGUGUGAUGGCUUCUUCUUUUUUUUAUUUGAUGACCGAAAAAUCUACAGUCGCUACCUUCGAGUGGUAAACUCUCAAAAUGAUGCAAUAUCCUACAAACGUGAUGGCUUGUUUGCUUUUACUUUACCUUAAUCACAAGAAUUCCUGCCUUAGUCAAUUGCGGGGGGACCCUGCAGUAGGUUUUUUCAUAUUUGAAUGUGUACAAAAGAUAUAGCUGUAGUACUAUAUUGACUUUAGUAUAUUCCAAGUCAAUGGUUUCCGCGAUUCAUCUAUUUAAUAAUUUAGCACAAUUAUUGAGGCAUAAGAUUUUUUCUUUAUUAAAAAAUAAAAAAAUCCCUUCAAGUAUUUUUUUUUUUUUUUUAAAUAAUGAGGAUUAAACAAGGGCUAAAUGACAAAGUUUAACAAAAAUAAAUAAAUAAAUUGUGGUGAGUGAGAGGCCAGAGGCUGCUUGACAUGUUGAGAAUCAAUUGAAAAUUUUAACAAUUUUGCUACAUUGCUCGAGGAUUUCUAACACUUUCCAUGACAAAAUGCCACAUAGUAUCAUAUUAUUGGACUGUUUUAAAAACAAUCAACACUGUCAUACAGUCAUUUUUUGCCACAACUUUAUCUGUCAACCAAAGUGUUAAAUUCUUCUGGCAAAACAACAUAAUUCAAAUUUUAAAUGCAAAAUUACAUCAUUUAUAAUAUCAAUGGUAAGAAGGGUGUGCAAUUACAAGAAGUUGACAUAACAUAGAGACAUGUUGUGAGAAUUCGUAUGGGUAGCAUGAUUUUAUGUAUUAAAUUUAAAGAAGAGGGAGGUUAAAUCGAACUUUCAAGUAGAUAUGACUUAUCUUUACAUAGUCUUUAUAUCUAUAUAUCUUUUUUCUUUUCUUUUCUUUUUAUAUAUAAAGAGCGGUGAAAGAACAGAAGAAGUGGGCAGAGUCAUUUCCUCGCUGUAUAUAGCAUUUGAAUUAAAUCAUGGAACUUUGUCUAUAUGUUCCUGGGUCGAGAUUGCUUUUAUUAAACUUGUAUUAUAUUUGCAAAUUUAAGGGAUUUCUACAUAAUUUAGUGUAAAUAUUGUAAGUAAAACUCAAACUUCAAAGUAUUUGGAGGAAAAUGAGGAUCUUGAACUAGAGUUGGUUCAGCACAACUGAAAAAUAAUCGAAUUGCACACAAUUGAUAAGAAGCAUUAAAAGAGCAGUUGUAGGAAAGUUGCAAAUUUUGGGAGUGAAAUUUAACUCAUCAAAAGUUUGAUGAGUAAUUUGUACACUUUUCAAAACUUGAGGAGGACCAGUUUCGAAUGGCUAUAGAGAUUCAGUGACCAAUAUUGAAACAUUCACAAGUUGUGGUAUAUUGAAGAAUUGAAGCAAAAAAAAUGAGAUCAAAAUUGGACGAAAAACUUGUAGUAGGGACCAAAAUGCAAAAAGUUGUUAGUUACAGGGAUGAUCGCGAUUUGAUGACAUUGUCCCAAAAUUUAUUGUUUGUCGUUGUUAGAGUGUGUUUGAUUGUUAAUAUUUUUCAUGGAAAAUAUCAUUUUUCCAUUCAAAUUCUUACUUUUGUACUGUCUGAUAGAUAUUUUUUCCAUAGAAACUAUUUUUCCUCUUUUGAUCACGUGACCAUAAUUUGCUUGAAAAUAAGAAAAAUAUUUUCUUUAGGGAGAAAAGGUUUUUAUUUUCCAGAUAAUUCACUCUUUCUUUUUCUCUCAUCUACUUCAUCUCUCUCCUAUCUCUCUACCAAUAAAAAAAUGAAAAAGUAUAACAUUUUCUAUGUAGAAUAUAAAAUCAAUCAAACACAUUUAAUUGACAAAUUUCAUUCAAAUAAUUUCAAGGCAAUUGAAUUACCUAAAUUAAUUUCUUUUCUUGUAAAUUCCGUGCUGACAAUCAAUCACUUAGACUAAAGUUCACUUGCAACAUUUAAAUUUUUUUAAGAAAAAAUAUUGUCGCGAGUUUUUGAGGCAAGUCCACUAGUAAUAAUGACAUCUUUUAUGAUGGAGCAUAGGAACAAAUCUAGAUUUCAUCGUUCUAUAAAAGAAAGCGAAUUUUUUGUGCAAUAUCUUUAUCCCCCCUUCCUUUAAACUCGGUGAUAUACCCUAAAUCAUUCUUACAUUUUGCUUUCUCAAGAUGCGUAACUAAAUUUAUAGCUUGAAAGAUCGUUGCAACCUUUAUCUAGAACUCUAGGGUUUCGAUUAUGAAGUUUAGAUCUUCAAUUGAUGUUUGUGUAUUAUUUUUACUUUUAUUAUUCAUGUAUCGAAAGAUGAGUUAUUUAUUUUGUUCAUGUAGUAAUAAUUGAAAUUUGAGCAGAAGAUAGAGAUGCACUUGCACUAGUCCUUAAUUGAAUUCUUAAGUGAUGGAAUAUUAUUAAUUAAAGCUUACACCGAAUCAAAUAGAGGUACAAUGAGUUAACUUAGCCCUUGUUUGAUCUUCAUUAUUUUCAAAAUACAUUUCUCUCUUCUUUUCAACCAUACAUUUUUCAAUAAAAUAAUAUUACACGUUAAUUCAAAACUUUUACUUAUUUUAUAACCACACAUUCUCUAUUAAUCUACUAUUCCAAAAUGUAUUCUCAAAAGAAAUGUGUCUUAAACAAUUUUUGAAAAGUUAAUUUUCUUUGACUAGUUUUACAAAAUUCCGAUGAACAUUGCAUUUGAAGCCAAAUGCAUGCUUAUAUAUAGGAGUAAAGUAUGGUGUAAUUGCAUUACAAGACUACACACCAACAUCUACUUUAUGUAAUUACAAUUGAUUGACAUUUGUUUGACAAGAUAGGUUUUAGACCUUGUGUUUGUCAUCUGAAUAGUGAAAUUGUAUUUAUUACCAACAUGCUUUUAAAAUCAACACAAUACUAUAUUAAUCAUGAGAGCUUUUUGUUAAUGGUGAUGAAUUUAUAAUACACAUUUGAUUGAAAUCAUGUUGAGGAACUUGUACGUCCAAUAAGUUAGAUUUAACUCUUUUCUUAAUCUAAUUGUUAUUUUACCAGUCCCUCAAUUGGUUCGAUUUUGCCCUCGACAUUUCAUGAUGUUCUCAUAAUUUGAAAAGUUGUUAUGGACAUUUGAAUCAUGUUUACCUCAACACUUGAUAGUUCAUUUAUCUAGGACAAGAUUUCAUUCCAAUUUCAAGAGUUCUAUAGAUUUUAGAUAUUUAUUGACACAUGAAGUGUUGUUCUCGACAUUAAAUACACGUUAUUCUCGACAACUGAUAUUUAUUUUAACUGUUAGGAACAACAGUUCAUGAACGUGUAAACAAUAUAAGACAUGGACAACAUGUCUCUACUGAAACAAAAUGAUGCUGUUUCCAUUUCAAUUUUAAAUCGAAUCUCAGAACUAUACCAUCAAUAAAAAAAAUGCCUAAUGAUGGUACACAAAAUGACGUUUCAAAUGUUUUUCCAAACACACAAUGCUCUACUCCAACAACAUUCUAAACUAACAACACAUCUCUCUUACCCUUUUUACAAUUGGAGUAUGUGAACGGAAUCCUCAUGCUAGCACUGUGUAUCUUCACCCUCAGGAUCGAGGUCGGCAUGGCGGUGGAGCAUUGACGCUAGGAAGCCAUCUACAAAUAACAAAAACAAACAAAACAAAUAACAUGAGAACCUACUAAUUAUAUACAAUGACCAAAGAAAUAUAUAAAACCACUUAACCAAUGAAAAUGCUUGCUCUCUAAUCAAAUAGGUACCCAUAAACUAAUGCUUACAUAUUCAACAAAAUGUAAGAAUUUAAAAUUCUAACUAUUUACAAAAACCGUUAAAGACACACAAAACCUAUUGAACAUAUCAUUGUAAUAACGAAGUGGUUCCCACUACAAAAGCAAAUCACAAGUUUACGUCAUUAGCAAUUAGAAUUAUACAUAUCUCAAUGUAACAAUAAUUUGUUAUGCUAUCCAUUUUUAAAAAUAGUAAAUUCAAUACACCAAAGAUACUAAAUACAAUACAACAAAGAUAAAACUUAGCAAAAUUUUUGAAGUCCAAUGCUUCGUAUUUUCCCUCUAGUGUGUUAUGCUAUUCAUUUUUAAGAUAGUAAAUACAAUACAUCAAAGAUAAAAUCAUUCACAGAAUAAAGAUAUUCCAAUCUUGAAUACAUUUAGAAAGUUAUGAAACUUUAAAAAUAAAUAUGAAAAUUUCCUAAGAUGAUAUAAUUUGCAUGGAUUUUAAUGCCGUCCAGAUUUUAGUGACUUUUGGAGGAUUAUUCUCCAUCCAAUCAAUAUGAAUCCGUAGAAUAAGCUCUCUUAGUUUAAUGAUAUACUCCAUGUCUCCAUCCAAUAAAUUACAUAUGAAGCCUUACUUUUUUUUCAUUUUAAAGCUCUAGAAGAUUACAUCCAUGCAUCUAGCUCAAUAAUUUUAUAGUUAUAAAAGUCGUUAUAAACUCUAUAAAAAGGAAUAACGAGCAAACAUUUAGGAUCUCUACUUCUCAACAUAGUAGCAAUUAAUUAAAUAAAGCAAUCUAACCUUAGCUAAAACCGGCUCCUAAUACUCAAUGUAUUCUCCAUCCAAUCAAUAUGAAUCCGUAGAAUAAGCUCUCUUAGUUUAAUGAUAUACUCCAUGUCUCCAUCCAAUAAAUUACAUAUGAAGCCUUACUUUUUUUUUAUUUUAAAGCUCUAGAAGAUUACAUCCAUGCAUCUAGCUCAAUAAUUUUAUAGUUAUAAAAACCGUUAUAAACUCUAUAAAAAGGAAUAACGAGCAAACAUUUAGGAUCUCUACUUCUCAACAUAGUAGCAAUUAAUUAAAUAAAGCAAUCUAACCUUAGCUAAAACCGGCUCCUAAUACUCAAUUAAAUCCAAUUUGAUUAAUGAUGAUAGCAUUACUUUAUUAAUAGCACAAUACUUGGAUCAUUAACUGAAACAUCAUGAGGAUAAAAUCGUUAGAACAACAUAAAAACAUUCCUUGGAUUAUCAAACAGAUCAUUCACCAUCCAUCUACACUCCUUUCCUACAGUACAUGUGUAAGUCUCCUUUAAGCAUUUUUUUGGAAUUACCGUUGAACUCAAGCAAACGAAACCAUGAUUUUACUCAUUUUAUUGAGCUUAGCACAAGUAAUAUCAAACAUAUUCAGUAACAAUGCAGCACUUCAAGACAUUUAAAUGGUCAAAUCAAUCAAUUUUGACAAAAUUAGUUAGCCCACGGCAUUUCCUACACAAGUAGUGCUUAAUUGAUAUAGUUCAAGAAACAAAUAAGCUAUCUAUUUAAUCAAACAACAAACAAAUACAAGUUUUUCCACUACCUAUAUAUAAAUUAAUCAUGUAUUGCACAAAUUAUACUCAAUAAAAUAAUCAACUAGGAAGUAAUACCAACAUUGAACGAUUAACCCUAGUGACCAAUAUCCAUAGCUCUAAAGAAAAAUCAAAGAAAAUUAAUUUUUCAAAAUUUUAAGACCCAACGUACAGCAUUAUAAUUUAAGGAAUGGAACAUCCUCCACAUAACUCUAAUUUGUAAAUAUUUUAUCUAUUAUUUUUACUUGAUACCCAAGACAAGCUAGAGAGGAAGAAAUAAUUUACAUUAACUCAAUAAAAAAAAAAAAAAAAAAACCAGUGACCAAUAUCCAUAGCUCCAAAGAAAAAACAAAGAAAAUUAAUUUUUCAAAAUUUUAAGACCCAAUGUAUAGCAUUAAAAUUUGAGGAAUGGAAAAUCCUCCACAUAACUCUAAUUUGUAAAUAUUUUAUCUAUUAUUUUUACUUGAUACCCAAGACAAGCUAGAGAGGAAGAAAUAAUGUACAUUAACUCAAUAAUAAUAAAAAAGACGUUAAGGAGAAAUAAGUAAGAAUCUAACCGAGAGAGAAGAAGAGGGAAUUAGUGAUUGAUGAUCGUCGAUGGAGAUUCUGACAGUUGGAGUAGCAGGGCUUUUUUUACGAUUACAAAAGAAAGUGAAUUCCAGGAAGUGGGUGAGUGUGGGAGAGUGCUAUGGUUUUUGAAUCGCAUGAGUCGUGUUGGGUCAGGUAGUCUUUCAUCUGUAAAGUUAGUAUUUAAUGUGAAUUGACAUUUGAGCUUUUAGAAAAUAAGUAGUACAGAUUAUGUGUCAAGAUUUCAUUGGUCAACACUCUUUUAACUAUAUACAAAAAUUUGUGUUUAAUGUGAAAUUGGAAAUUACAAACAAGGGUAUUUUGGUCUAAAUUAUUGUAAAAUGGAUAUUGAAUAAAUUUUGGACAAUCUUCCAAAUGACGAGUAAACAUUUGCAAUUUCCUCUAAUUAUAAUUUAAUUUUGCUGCGGUUCAGUCCAACUUGUAAGUUCCUGAAAUUGUGUGUACUGUGUACUAGAAGUUGUAAAAUGAAAAUUAAAAAUUCUUAAGCCUUGCUAUUUCUACAAAAAUAUAAACCAAUCUCAUUUUCGUCCAUUUCUUUAAAAAAAAAAAAAUAGCAUUCCAAGGAAUUUGUGUAAGAAUUAUUCAAGUAUUAACUGUAUACCCAUAGUGUUAGUAGGCAAGCUUAGAGCAGGGUUCGAUCUUCUCUUAAUGAACUAACUCAUGAAAGCAUCGGUGAUGGUGGUUUCAAAAUGGGCGGGUCGCCAUAGUUCGUGACAAUCCAUUGAAUUAAAAAUCGAAUCAAAAUCAGUCCAUCUCGAUUUGGGUCGAUUCAUGAGUUGGUCUAUUAAAAUAAGAGGCAGUGUUGGACUUGAUUUUCCAAACCAAUAACCAAACGAUCUAUGAGAACUAGUCCGCCAAUUUUGGCACCUCUAAUCGAUAUCUCUCGUUAGAGGUAUAAAAUAGAUUAGACCGAACCUACAUCAAAAGGGCAAGUUGUUUGUAAAUAAAUAUUGAAAAAUGCAUGCGUCAGCACUCAUGAAAGCAUCGGUGAUGGUGGUUUCAAAAUGGGCGGGUCGCCAUAGUUCGUGACAAUCCAUUGAAUUAAAAAUCGAAUCAAAAUCAGUCCAUCUCAAUUUGGGUCGAUUCAUGAGUUGGUCUAUUAAAAUAAGAGGCAGUGUUGGACUUGAUUUUCCAAACCAAUAACCAAACGAUCCAUGAGAACUAGUUCGCCAAUUUUGGCACCUCUAAUCGAUAUCUCUCGCUAGAGGUAUAAAAUAGAUUAGACCGAACCUACAUCAAAAGGGCAAGUUGUUUGUAAAUAAAUAUUGAAAAAUGCAUGCGUCAGCCCAAUUAUCUUUAUACCACUAGUCAUGAAUUUUUGAAUGAAAUAUGAAUUCUCCAAUCUUCUAGUUAGCCACACAGCUAUAUACCGGAACAAAGAACCAAUUUUCGGGCUACUAGUCAUAUACAUUAAUUAAGCAGCCCAACUAAUAUGCUCCUCUUUCCUUGCUUUAUUACUGCAGAUGAAGCGACAUCGACUGUCUAAAUCGAUAAUAACAGCCGCCUCUCAAAGCGGACAUUUUUUUUCAAUUGGCAAAGUUUCUUUGUGGUUGAAACUUACUUUUUCAAGCAUUUGUUACAUACGUCAUCCAAACAAUGCUGUUAUUUUAUGCAGGUAGAACUUGAACUUCAAUUUCUGAUGCUUCUUUCUUCUUGGCCUUCUCUAUUUCAAGUAAGUAAAUUCUCUCUGCUUCAGGAAUUGCAGACAUAAUAGU